RNAcentral lists this unclassified non-coding RNA (387 nucleotides) under soil metagenome. RNAcentral describes it as "partial contains 5.8S ribosomal RNA, internal transcribed spacer 2, and large subunit ribosomal RNA". The stretch from base 1 to 120 matches the Rfam family "5.8S ribosomal RNA", at positions 35 to 154 of the family's 154-position model. The record is from RNAcentral.
GAUGAAGAACGUAGCGAAAUGCGAUAAGUAAUGUGAAUUGCAGAAUUCAGUGAAUCAUCGAAUCUUUGAACGCACCUUGCACCCUUUGGCAUUCCGAAGGGUAUGCUCGUUUGAGUGUCAUUGUACUCUCACACUCUCCGAUCCUAUGGAUUCGGGGAGCGGUGGACUUGGGUGUUGCUGCCUUUCCCUGUGGCUCACCUCAAAUGCGUCAGUGCACCUCUUGGUUGGACAUAGUACGGCGUGAUAAGUGUCUUCGCCGGCACCUCGCAAGAGGGUGGCCGAUCGGGAGCUCUGUGCUUUCAAACCGUCUUCGGACAAUUUCUGACAACUUGACCUCAAAUCGAGUAGGACUACCCGCUGAACUUAAGCAUAUCAAUAAGCGGAGGA